AGAUGGGGCUCGGGCGCGGGAUGGGCGGGGGCCUAACACACCCGCUCCCCGCUGCGCCCACACCCUGGCACCUCCCCGCAGCCCCGCAUCGGACCCAAGGACAGUCCCAGGAGACGUGGGGGCGCUCACCCCUUUCGUGGACGGGAAACUGAGGCAGGCGGGUGAAGGUCGGCUCACAUGCGGAGCUCAGGCAUCACCCUAUGUUCCAGGUGAGCCACUGAGGCUCAGGGAGGACAGAGGUGAAGGAUCUUGCCCCAGUCACAGGAGGAAUCACAGGCAGAAAGGGGGAGAUGGAAAGAGGCCCCACAUCCCCAUGAGACUUGAACUGCCUUUCUCCUAGGACCAACUAGAUAUCUGCAAAUUGCAUGACAGCUCAGAGUGGGAAGGACACAGACUUUGCAGUGAUUCCUUGUGUGUGACUCCCAGCUUCACCACUCCUGGUUGUGUAACCUCAGACAAAUGCCUUGACCUCCCCUGGCCUCAGCUUCCUUAUCUGUCAAGUGGGGUAUUCCUAGUCUCCCCAGGCCACUGAGGGGCAUGGUGGGAAUGGAUAAGAAUGUGGGUGUGAGCUGUAUGCAUGGGAGGGAUUGAUUAUGUUCCAGUAUGUGCCUGCUAGGAAGGCCUUCCACUCACCUCCCAGACAUCCCACAGGGAAGCAGCUCAUGUUCACUGAGCACUGACGGGAUGACUGGUCCUACAUGAAGUCCCAGGAAAGACCUGUGCAUGAAGUCCCAGGGAAGACACUGACCUGUUCCCUGUGCAGGCAGGGUAGACAGACACUUGAACAAAUAACCACAGUCCAAGACACAAAUGCAGAUCAUUUUCAGAUGCAUUUAAUUCUGAACAGCCCUGUGAGGAGGGCAGGACAAAGAUUAUUAUCCCAUUAGACAGAUGAAGAAGCUGAGGUCCAGAUAAAUCAAGUGAGUUGCUGAAGGUCACACAGCAAUGAGGGGCAGAGCUGGGUCUUGACCCUGGAGCCCUUUUCACUCUGGGGGUACCAGGCCUGCCAGAAAGGUUAUCACCAAAGGGUUCUGGAAGAGUGACCUCCUCAAACUUUCCCUGUCCUCAGACUGACUUGUGGCCUGAGAGUCCGCUAUCAGCACAUCAUACCUUUGGCUAAAAAUGUGCUAAAAAUAUGCCAGCCCCUCCAGUGUCAAUCAAAUGGCCAUCAGUCAUUUACACUUGAGUGUGGAGAAGCCAAUCAGAUUUUAUGGGUUGGAGAUGAGAAGGAAUCUUGAGUGUUUGGACUUUUGGGUGGGAAACUGGAGAUGUGAGAGGAAAGGUUGGCAGCAGAGAGAACUCAGGAGGUGGGUGGGGAGGGAGUCAGGGUUAACUGGAGGAUGGAGUGAGUCCGCAUGACCUGGACACUUCUGUGUACCUCACCCCCAUGAAGUAUAACCAAUAUCUGGCACUCGUGGAGCACUUAGGAUAUACCAGACACUGUGCUCUCUCCCUUUUUUUUUUUUUUUUUUGAGAUGGAGUCUUGCUCUGUCACCCACGCUGGAGUGCAUUGGCAUGAUCUCAGCUCACUGCAACCUCCACCUCUCCGGUUCAAGCAAUUCUCCUGCCUCAGCCUCCCUAGUAGCUGGGACUACAGGUGCAUGCCCAGCUAAUUUUUUUAAAAACAUAUUUUAGUAGAGACCGGGUUUCACCAUGUUGCCCAGGCUGGUCUCCAACUCCUGAGCUCAGGCAAUCAGCCUGCCUUGGCCUCCCAAAAUGCAGCCGCUCUCUCCUUUAAUCUUUUUGUUUGUUUGUUUUUAAGACAGUCUCACUCUGUCGCCCAGGCUGCAGUGCAGUGGCGCAAUAUCAGCUCACUGCAACCUCCACUUCUGAGGUUCAAGCAGUUCUCCCGCCACAGCCUCCAGAGUAGCUGGGACUACAGGUGUACACCACCAUAUUCAGCUAAUUUUUUUGUAUUUUUAGUAGAGAUGGGGGGUCAUCAUGUUGGCCAGGCUGGUCUUGACCUCCUGAGAUACCCCUGCCUCAGCCUCCCAAAGUGCUGGAAUUACAGGUCUGAGCCAUCAUGCCCGGCCUCUCCUUUACUCUUCAUGGCAACUGUUAUCUUUCUUUUUACAGAUGAGAAAAGGGAGGCACAGAGAGGCUAAAUAAUUUGCCCAAGAUCACACAGAAGCAGAGGAGCUGAAGGGUGGACCCAGGCAGGCCAGCUCUGCAGCCCCUGCUCUUGGCCACCAUGGGCUCCUCCUCUGGGCUAACCCAGCCCUUGCCAGAAUCCUACAUGGAAAGUAUUAUCAUCCCAUUGAAUAGAAGAGGAAAUGGAGGCACAGAAGGGCCCCAGGAUGGCAGAAUUAGUAACUGGGGUUGGGGGGAGCUGGGAUUAGACCCAGGUCUGAAAGCCAGGCCUUCCCUCUACCCUUCCUAUUUGCCAAACACCCGGGCCCCAUCCUGCCGAAGGUCAGCAGCCCAGGUGGCAGGAUGUGCUUCUGCCUGGUGCUGGCCUUGGGGAGCACUUGUUUUUCACUGGAGGAAGCAGCAGGUGUGGCCUUCUUUAUGGAAAUGAUCCUAACUGGGUUGGAGCCAGGACUCCCCCCAACACACACCCAGGCCAGGAGGACUUAAAUAGGACUAGGUCAGAGCUUCUAGGCUUGGAUGGAGGGGCUGGAAUUUGGGAGAGGGUCUCGGAGGUCAGUCCCAUUUUGGCAAGCCUCUCGCCCUCUGGACUCCAUAUCUCCUGCUAAUUGCACUCCUUGGAUGAGACAGUGACAUGGAAGUGCCUCCCAGCUCAGCCCUGGGGAGACCUCUCCAAGGACAGUGAAGGAAGCUGGGGGCAUGCCCCUACCCUUCUUUCUGGAGCAGAGCCCUGGGACCUUCUGGAGUCCCAGUCGGGCUGGGGUCUACAAGGGUUAAGACUCCAAGUGACUUCUCUGUCUGCCCCUCAUGCUGAUAAAAGUUUCCAUUCAAGGAAGAACUGCCUUAGGGCUGCCAAGUUAUCCUGAUUCUGUCAUUGUAGCAUCAAGGUGGGGGCCUUGGGCCUUCCCAGCCUCUUCAAGGGGGCAUUCUUGGGUGGGAUGUGGCUCCUAACUGGUGUCACCACCUCAAAGGCCAAUAUCCCAAGACCCAGAAUUCCCACGUUAGACUCAGGGACUAGCAAGAUCACCCUGACUCCUUCUGCCAGGGCCCUUUAAGAGCCACCCAUCCCGCCCAUGAGUGCUCCUGCUUAGUGAGUCAGACCCUUGCAUUAGGCCCCAGGGGAAGAAGAGAAACAGGCCUCAGAAAGCACUUGGAAGGGCAGGGAAGGGCUUGGAAGAAACCUGGCUCAGAAGAUGGUGCCCUCCCCUCACAUAUUCCCAGACUUGAAGGGGCAUCUUACUUCUGAGCUCCCCACAGCCCCAGCCUCCUGGCUGUCUCUCCUGGCUGCUGAAAUAAAGGUCAAGCCCUUUUAUCACCUUUAUUAUGUGACCCUGCCUGCUGGUUAGGCCUCAUCUCUCGCCCCUAGUUCUUUGCUUUCAGGGCCACACCAGCCCUCUUGACUGUUCUUGAAUCCAUCAUGAUUCUUUCUACCCCAGGGACCUUGCACUAGCCAGCAUCUUGCUGCACUUCCUCCUAUCUCAAUUGGCUAAUGUGGGAGAGGCAUUUUCUUUACACACCCAGAGAAAAUAGAGCUUGCUACCUUCCAAGAUUGAGAUGGUUGGAAGAAACUUUUUGUAUUGUAGCUUGAGGGUGGGAAGGAGAAGACACAAUUUGAGCAUAAGAAGGUAAGCUGGAAGCUGGGCACGGUGGCUUAUGCCUGCAAUCCCAGUGUUAGAAAUGCUUGUUCUCCACUGCUGCAAAGAAAUAGCACUCAAACAUAGAUUUAAUUUUCUCAGCAAGGCAAUUUUUAGUUUCUGUGGAAAGGGUGCUCCUCAUAGAUGGAACAAUGGUGACAGCGCAGUUGAACAAGGGAGGGGAAGGGGUUCUUAUUCCUGACCCAGGUAAUCCCUGCUGCUAUGUUGUUCCCCUGUUGGCUAAGGUUGGACCGCACGGUCUAAGCUAAUUCCGAUUGGCUAUUUUAAAGAGAGCAGGGGUAUGAGCCAGAGUGGCGAGGUGAGUAGUUUGGCAGGAAGGACAGUUAGGAACAGGUAACUAAAGGUGACUUACAUCAGAGCAGGUGACCUACAUCAGAGCAGGUGACCAAGGGUGACUCAGGUCAAAGCAGGUGACCGGGAUGAGUCAGGAUGGAGCUAGUGACCAGGGGAACAGGUGUGAACUACUGAAUAAAACUGGUGGGAAAGGUUGUUUACUGAAAUUAGAAGCAAGGGGGUGAAGAGAACCAGGAAGUUAAACUUUAAAAUGGAGAAUUAAAGAAUAAGAGAGCUGAACAUACAGACAUACUGAUUCUUUGAAGAAAAACUUGGGGUUAACUAUAUUUAACAUGAGCACUUUGGGAGGUUGAGGCAGGUGGAUCACUGCAGGUCAGGAAUUCGAGACCAGCCUGGCCAACAUGGUGAAACCCCAUCUCUACUAAAAAUACAAAAAUUAGCUAGGUGUGGUGGCGGGUGCCUGUAAUCCUAAAUACUUGAGAGGCUGAGGCAGGAGAAUUGCUUGAACCUGGAAAGUGGAGGUUGCAGUGAGCUGGGAUUGUGCCACUGCAUGCCAGCCUGGGUCACAGAGAGACUCCGUCUCAAAAAAAAAAAAAAAAAAAAAAAAAGGUGAGCUGGAAAUAAGCUCAGGCUCAUGAGCAGUUUAUCUUCUGGAAUAAAGUCGUUUGCCUUUUUAAAGGCUCUGUCUUCCUCCAUUUCUACCAGAAACCAGACCUCUGAGGGCUCCUUCCCCUCCCACCAUCCUCAGGAUCUGAAGCCCUGGUCCUCCCUCACUUCCUGUCCAGCACUGGAACCCCAUGGGACAGAGAGUGUGUGACAGCUCCUGCAGGAAGCUGGUCAGACGAGGAGAGUGCUGGGUUAAAGGGGAUACAUUUGGAAGGUAUCCAGGGACCUGAUCAGGGAGGACCGUGAGUCCCAAGGAGAGAAGUUUGGAUUUCUUCCUCCAGUCACCAUGGAGCUUGGAGGGUUUGGGGCAGCUGCCUUGGAAGGGCUGAAAAGAGGUGGACGGCACU
Long non-coding RNA from Gorilla gorilla gorilla (western lowland gorilla), 5050 nucleotides. RefSeq lists it as uncharacterized. The transcript is spliced from 3 exons. The record is from RefSeq and is a predicted model, not a curated record. Lineage: Eukaryota; Metazoa; Chordata; Mammalia; Primates; Hominidae.